This 1096-nucleotide long non-coding RNA is filed under the name Citrus x clementina. Its description in RNAcentral is "Citrus clementina (C. clementina) long non-coding RNA (CCLE_LNC003850)". Lineage: Eukaryota; Viridiplantae; Streptophyta; Magnoliopsida; Sapindales; Rutaceae. The record is from RNAcentral.
UGAAUUAACGCCACGUCAAUUUAUACAAAAUAAAUUUAUACAAGAGUUUGUGGCUAUAUCAUUAUUAUUUAUUUAAUCAUACUAAAGGUUAAUGUCGACAUACAAUAUUUUGGAAUUGUUAUAACUUACAAGUGAGAAUAAGUCAAUUAUAAUUUACAAAGAAGCAAAAGGGAUGUUUUAUUUCGCGGGCCCAUUUCGUAAUUGAUGGAUUUUUCUAAAGGUAAAAAGCUAGGGACAAAGUCAUUUUCGCACUAUAUUGAUUAUCACAAAUAUUUUAAUGGUAAUUGCCCGCUUGUUACGUGCAGGUUCAAACAAACGAUGCUUCUGGACUUGGCGGGAAUGUUGAAAAAAAAUACUUGGGCCUUCGUUCUCAAUCUAAGUAGAACUGAUGUAAGGCCCAAACCGUUUUAUUUUUAAUAAUUAGUAAAUUAUUAAUUAUUAAAAAUUCUCAUAAGUUAGAAAAUAGAACCAAAUUAUUGAUUAUGAAAUUAUCAACAUCAAACAGAUUCAGCAUGGGCAUGGCAUGUGACAUGUAUUUGGCUUGACGGUCGACGCUUACUUGCGCGCCAAUAUUAAUUUGCAACUCUGUCUUUUCAGGUUCAGCAAUAUUUAACUCCGGUUUAAUGCGAUCCUUUUGUGGGAAUUUUAAUUCGUCAUCGGUUAGUUUUCUUGAUUCCUUUUUUUAAUUAGCAUCUUAGUUUGAACUUUGAACUGUUUCCAAUCACAGACGAACAAGAAGAAGAAUAAUUAAAGGAAAGACUGUUUUUAACCAAUUUUGAUUGCAUGGUAUGUACUGAUUUUCCGCUGAAUAAAAUUUAAAAAAAAAAUUGUAAUUAGUCAUAAUUGGAUAAAAUCAUUUCAAUUAAUUAUUUAAAUGAUAACCAGUUUUUUUUUCUUUUUCAUAGGAAUGAUAGCCGGUUUUAAAUAUAGAUUUAGGACAAUAUUUUGUUAACAAUGUGAGGAAAUUUUCCUGUGAUUAGGGUUGGCAAUCUGAGUCAGGAUUCCUUUAUUUGAUUUGAAUUGAUUCAAUGUGAAUUAAAUGAGUUUGAGUUUAAAAAAAUUGAUUGGUUUAAUAAGUUGGUGAAUUCGAUUUGAU